UCACCUUGGGGAAGCCAGACCAAAGCGCGGGCGCUGUAACUAGUUCGGCUGAUGCAAGAAGGCGUCGGUGCGCGGUUCUGGGAACUUCGCUGUGCAAAGAGAAAGAGGUAUUAGUGAGACAGCUCCUAAUAUCGGUGGUGUAAGAUGAGGAAAAGAAGCAUGAAAUAACCGGAGUAGCGGGAACCCGGGAACAUAGUGUAUAAAGGAAAGAUAAGGAAGAGCCACAGGAGGAAGGGCAGCCGUACCUGUAAAGCUGACUAACAACGUAAUUAAAAUAGUUGUAAAUGCCAGGCGUGCCUUCCGAGGAUCGAUGCCCUCCUCUGCUGUCACCGCUGGGGCUGCCGGUCACACAUGCAGCAACUCUGCAGUGGAGAGGCAGUUUUUCUUUACAAAGAGGACAUAUUGUAAAGAAUUCAAUCUCUGCGUUCAUGGACCGCUUCAUAUUUUUAAAAAAACAGCUCAUUUCAGGUGAGUUUGAGAGAAGAUACGGAACAAAGAAAAGGGAAUUUUUUUUGUUUGCUUCUUGUACGGGUGGUUUAAAAUAGGCUGUGCCCACUUCCUCUUAGGGGAAAUACUAAGAGAGGCUACCUACCCAGGGGAUAUGAUUAAAUAAAAUAAAUAAAGUUUGGCCUCAGGCCGCUGUCUCCUCCUAAUUCCAGCUUCUCACAGGCUGAACCUUGGGACAGAAGGGGCCGUGGAUCAUGCAAAAGACAGGACUUGCUGCCUGAAAUUGCAGCUUCACUAAAGGACACGUUCCCAGUGGUAUCUGGGAAGCACAUAGGCUUUUGCUGUGUUUUGGAUGUUCAUUGGCGAUUAGGAAGACUAGCACAGAUCGGGCCACUUAAGAUGAGCGACCACGCCACACGUCAGAAAGUCCAAUGGCAGCAACACGUCCAAGUUCAAGUGAGCUGACUUCCAGCGGUGACCACAGUGCGUCCCCGGGGCCGUGUCCAGGGCCAGCGUGAAGCCCUCCGCAGCAGAAGCCAAGUACCUGUGGGGCCACGGUGAGGAGUCGGUCGUUGCUCACGUCUGCCGCUCAGCCCGGAGCUGAACUUCAUCUUGCCAGAGGCACUCUGCAGCGGGACACAGGGAAUAUGAGAAAUGCACCGAGGAUUUGUUGAGCGUGCAGGUU
Long non-coding RNA from Phyllostomus discolor (pale spear-nosed bat), 1132 nucleotides. RefSeq lists it as uncharacterized. The transcript has 5 exons. NCBI's taxonomy places the organism in Eukaryota, Metazoa, Chordata, Mammalia, Chiroptera, Phyllostomidae. The record is from RefSeq and is a predicted model, not a curated record.